GACGAUAAUGACGGUACCUGAAGAAGAAGCCCCGGCUAACUUCGUGCCAGCAGCCGCGGUAAUACGAAGGGGGCUAGCGUUGUUCGGAAUCACUGGGCGUAAAGCGCAUGUAGGCGGGUCUUUAAGUCAGGGGUGAAAUGCCAAGGCUCAACCUUGGAACUGCCUUUGAUACUGGAGACCUUGAGUCCGGGAGAGGUGAGUGGAACUGCGAGUGUAGAGGUGAAAUUCGUAGAUAUUCGCAAGAACACCAGUGGCGAAGGCGGCUCACUGGCCCGGUACUGACGCUGAGAUGCGAAAGCGUGGGGAGCAAACAGGAUUAGAUACCCUGGUAGUCCACGCCGUAAACGAUGGAUGCUAGCCGUUAGGCAGCUUGCUGCUUAGUGGCGCAGUUAACGCUUUAAGCAUCCCGCCUGGGGAGUACGGUCGCAAGAUUAAAACUCU
Molecule: ribosomal RNA, 441 nt
Filed under: uncultured bacterium
Lineage: Bacteria
Description: bacterial SSU rRNA
Rfam family: Bacterial small subunit ribosomal RNA
Source: RNAcentral